RNAcentral lists this ribosomal RNA (468 nucleotides) under uncultured bacterium. RNAcentral's name for it is "partial 16S ribosomal RNA". It matches the Rfam family "Bacterial small subunit ribosomal RNA", at positions 28 to 507 of the family's 1533-position model. The record is from RNAcentral.
GACGAACGCUGGCGGCGUGCUUAACACAUGCAAGUCGAACGGAAAGACCCUGCUUUUGUGGGGUGCUCGAGUGGCGAACGGGUGAGUAACACGUGAGUAACCUGCCCUUGACUUUGGGAUAACUUCAGGAAACUGGGGCUAAUACCGGAUAGGAGCUCCUGCUGCAUGGUGGGGGUUGGAAAGUUUCGGCGGUUGGGGAUGGACUCGCGGCUUAUCAGCUUGUUGGUGGGGUAGUGGCUUACCAAGGCUUUGACGGGUAGCCGGCCUGGGAGGGGGACCGGCCACAUUGGGACUGAGAUACGGCCCAGACUCCUACGGGAGGCAGCAGUGGGGAAUAUUGCACAAUGGGCGGAAGCCUGAUGCAGCAACGCCGCGUGCGGGAUACCGGCCUUCGGGUUGUAAACCGCUGUCGCCUGUGACGAAGCGUGAGUGACGGUAAUGGGUAAAGAAGCACCGGCUAACUACGUG